This 492-nucleotide ribosomal RNA is filed under the name uncultured bacterium. Its description in RNAcentral is "partial 16S ribosomal RNA". It matches the Rfam family "Bacterial small subunit ribosomal RNA", at positions 29 to 507 of the family's 1533-position model. The record is from RNAcentral.
AGUGAACGCUGGCGGUAGGCCUAACACAUGCAGGUCGAACGGCAGCACAGUAAGAGCUUGCUCUUACGGGUGGCGAGUGGCGGACGGGUGAGGAAUACAUCGGAAUCUACUUUUUCGUGGGGGAUAACGUAGGGAAACUUACGCUAAUACCGCAUACGACCUACGGGUGAAAGCAGGGGAUCUUCGGACCUUGCGCGAUUGAAUGAGCCGAUGUCGGAUUAGCUAGUUGGCGGGGUAAAGGCCCACCAAGGCGACGAUCCGUAGCUGGUCUGAGAGGAUGAUCAGCCACACUGGAACUGAGACACGGUCCAGACUCCUACGGGAGGCAGCAGUGGGGAAUAUUGGACGAUGGGCGCAAGCCUGAUCCAGCCAUACCGCGUGGGUGAAGAAGGCCUUCGGGUUGUAAAGCCCUUUUGUUGGGAAAGAAAAGCAGCAGGUUAAUACCCCGCUGUUCUGACGGUACCCAAAGAAUAAGCACCGGCUAACUUCGUG